This 325-nucleotide unclassified non-coding RNA is filed under the name soil metagenome. RNAcentral describes it as "partial contains 5.8S ribosomal RNA, internal transcribed spacer 2, and large subunit ribosomal RNA". The stretch from base 3 to 121 matches the Rfam family "5.8S ribosomal RNA", at positions 36 to 154 of the family's 154-position model. The record is from RNAcentral.
GAAUGAAGAACGCAGCGAAAUGCGAUAAGUAGUGUGAAUUGCAGAAUUCAGUGAAUCAUCGAAUCUUUGAACGCACAUUGCGCCCCUUGGUAUUCCAUGGGGCAUGCCUGUUCGAGCGUCAUUUGUACCUUCAAGCUUUGCUUGGUGUUGGGUGUUUGUCCUGAGGGACUCGCCUUAAAGUAAUUGGCAGCCAGUGUUUUGGUUUUGAAGCGCAGCACAAGUCGCGAUUCAAAGCUAUACGCCAGCUUCCACAAGCCUUUUUCACUUUUGACCUCGGAUCAGGUAGGGAUACCCGCUGAACUUAAGCAUAUCAAUAAGCGGAGGA